This 429-nucleotide ribosomal RNA is filed under the name Pseudomonadota bacterium. RNAcentral's name for it is "Proteobacteria bacterium partial 16S ribosomal RNA". It matches the Rfam family "Bacterial small subunit ribosomal RNA", at positions 355 to 776 of the family's 1533-position model. The record is from RNAcentral. Lineage: Bacteria; Pseudomonadati; Pseudomonadota.
UGGGGAAUAUUGGACAAUGGGCGAAAGCCUGAUCCAGCCAUGCCGCGUGUGUGAAGAAGGUCUUCGGAUUGUAAAGCACUUUAAGUUGGGAGGAAGGGCAGUAAGCGAAUACCUUGCUGUUUUGACGUUACCGACAGAAUAAGCACCGGCUAACUCUGUGCCAGCAGCCGCGGUAAUACAGAGGGUGCAAGCGUUAAUCGGAAUUACUGGGCGUAAAGCGCGCGUAGGUGGUUCGUUAAGUUGAAUGUGAAAGCCCCGGGCUCAACCUGGGAACUGCAUCCAAAACUGGCGAGCUAGGGUAGGGCAGAGGGUGGUGGAAUUUCCUGUGUAGCGGUGAAAUGCGUAGAUAUAGGAAGGAACACCAGUGGCGAAGGCGACCACCUGGGCUCAUACUGACACUGAGGUGCGAAAGCGUGGGGAGCAAACAGG